Molecule: ribosomal RNA, 497 nt
Filed under: uncultured bacterium
Lineage: Bacteria
Description: partial 16S ribosomal RNA
Rfam family: Bacterial small subunit ribosomal RNA
Source: RNAcentral
GAUGAACGCUGGCGGCGUGCCUAAUACAUGCAAGUCGAGCGAACGGACGAGAAGCUUGCUUCUCGGAUGUUAGCGGCGGACGGGUGAGUAACACGGGGAAAACCCACCUAUAAGGCUGGGAUAACUUCGGGAAACCGGAGCUAAUACCGGAUGAUAUUUUGAACCGCAUGGAUCAAAAGUGAGAGACGGUCGUGCCGUCACUUAUAGAUGGAUCCGCGCUGCAUUAGCUAGUUGGUAAGGUAACGGCUUACCAAGGCAACGAUGCCUAGCCGACCUGAGAGGGUGAUCGGCCACACUGGAACUGAGACACGGUCCGGACUCCUACGGGAGGCAGCAGUAGGGAAUCUUCCGCAAUGGGCGAAAGCCUGACGGAGCAACGCCGCGUGAGUGAUGAAGGUCUUCGGAUCGUAAAACUCUGUUAUUAGGGAAGAACAUAUGUGUAAGUAACUGUGCACAUCUUGACGGUACCUAAUCAGAAAGCCACGGCUAACUACGUG